This 372-nucleotide ribosomal RNA is filed under the name uncultured organism. RNAcentral describes it as "bacterial SSU rRNA". It matches the Rfam family "Bacterial small subunit ribosomal RNA", at positions 526 to 896 of the family's 1533-position model. The record is from RNAcentral.
CGGGGGGGGCAAGCGUUGUUCGGAAUUACUGGGCGUAAAGGGCUCGUAGGCGGCCAACUAAGUCGGACGUGAAAUCCCUCGGCUUAACCGGGGAACUGCGUCCGAUACUGGAUGGCUUGAGUUUGGGAGAGGGAUGCGGAAUUCCAGGUGUAGCGGUGAAAUGCGUAGAUAUCUGGAGGAACACCGGUGGCGAAGGCGGCAUCCUGGACCAACACUGACGCUGAUGAGCGAAAGCCAGGGGAGCAAACGGGAUUAGAUACCCCGGUAGUCCUGGCCCUAAACAAUGAAUGCUUGGUGUGGCGGGUAUCGAUCCCUGCCGUGCCGAAGCUAACGCAUUAAGCAUUCCGCCUGGGGAGUACGGUCGCAAGGCUG